This 67-nucleotide transfer RNA is filed under the name Branchiostoma belcheri (Belcher's lancelet). RNAcentral describes it as "tRNA-Gly". The record is from RNAcentral. Lineage: Eukaryota; Metazoa; Chordata; Leptocardii; Amphioxiformes; Branchiostomatidae.
ACUCAUUUCACUCACUAGUGGACCCUCAGAUUGGCAGUCUGAAACAAUCUAUUUUACUAAAUGAAUA